Molecule: ribosomal RNA, 253 nt
Filed under: uncultured bacterium
Lineage: Bacteria
Description: partial 16S ribosomal RNA
Rfam family: Bacterial small subunit ribosomal RNA
Source: RNAcentral
UACGGAGGGGGCUAGCGUUGUUCGGAAUUACUGGGCGUAAAGGGCGCGUAGGCGGCGCCUCUAGUCGGACGUGAAAGGCCUGGGCUCAACCCGGGAACUGCGUUCGAGACUGGGGUGCUUGAGUACGGGAGAGGUGAGCGGAAUUCCCAGUGUAGAGGUGAAAUUCGUAGAUAUUGGGAAGAACACCGGUGGCGAAGGCGGCUCACUGGACCGUGACUGACGCUGAGGCGCGAAAGCGUGGGGAGCAAACAGG